Molecule: small nuclear RNA, 90 nt
Filed under: Erinaceus europaeus (western European hedgehog)
Lineage: Eukaryota; Metazoa; Chordata; Mammalia; Eulipotyphla; Erinaceidae
Description: U2 spliceosomal RNA
Rfam family: U2 spliceosomal RNA
About the family: U2 is a small nuclear RNA (snRNA) component of the spliceosome (involved in pre-mRNA splicing). Complementary binding between U2 snRNA (in an area lying towards the 5' end but 3' to hairpin I) and the branchpoint sequence (BPS) of the intron results the bulging out of an unpaired adenosine, on the BPS, which initiates a nucleophilic attack at the intronic 5' splice site, thus starting the first of two transesterification reactions that mediate splicing.
Source: Rfam by way of RNAcentral
AUCGCUUCUUGGCCUUUUGGCUAAGAUCAAGUGCAGUAUCUGUUCUUAUCAGUUUAAUAAGAGAGAGAUACAGAGAAAAUUAUACCGAGA